This 465-nucleotide ribosomal RNA is filed under the name uncultured bacterium. Its description in RNAcentral is "bacterial SSU rRNA". It matches the Rfam family "Bacterial small subunit ribosomal RNA", at positions 917 to 1382 of the family's 1533-position model. The record is from RNAcentral.
GGGCCCGCACAAGCGGUGGAGCAUGUGGCUUAAUUCGAUGCAACGCGAAGAACCUUACCAGGCCUUGACAUGCACUAGACUGGCACUGAAAGGUGCCUUUCCUUCGGGACUAGUGCACAGGUGCUGCAUGGCUGUCGUCAGCUCGUGUCGUGAGAUGUUGCGUUAAGUCGCGCAACGAGCGCAACCCCUGUCCUUAGUUGCCAUCAGGUAAAGCUGGGCACUCUAGGGAGACAAACCCUCUCUGAGGGUGGGAAGGUGGGGAUGACGUCAAGUCAGGAUGGCCCUUACGGCCUGGGCUGCACACGUGCUACAAUGCCCGGUACAGAGGGACGCAAGACCGCGAGGUGGAGCAAAUCCUCAAAACCGGGCCCAGUUCAGAUUGCAGUCUGCAACUCGACUGCAUGAAGCCGGAAUCGCUAGUAAUGGCGUAUCAGCUACGACGCCGUGAAUACGUUCCCGGGCCUU